This 252-nucleotide ribosomal RNA is filed under the name uncultured bacterium. Its description in RNAcentral is "partial 16S ribosomal RNA". It matches the Rfam family "Bacterial small subunit ribosomal RNA", at positions 524 to 776 of the family's 1533-position model. The record is from RNAcentral.
UACGUAGGGUGCAAGCGUUGUCCGGAAUUAUUGGGCGUAAAGAGCUCGUAGGUGGCCUGUCGCGUCGGCUGUGAAACUCGGGGCUCAACCUCGGGUCUGCAUCCGAUACUGCCCGGCUAGAGGUAGGUAGGGGAGAUCGGAAUUCCUGGUGUAGCGGUGAAAUGCGCAGAUAUCAGGAGGAACACCGGUGGCGAAGGCGGAUCUCUGGGCCUUACCUGACGCUCAGGCGCGAAAGCUAGGGGAGCGAACUGG